CGGAAAACACCGGUUCUCGUUCGAUCACCGAAGUUAAGUCAUCGUAAAAACACCGGAGCCAGGUCAGUACUUAGAUGGGGACCGCUUGGGAACACCUGGUACUGUAAG
Non-coding RNA from Acanthosepion pharaonis, 108 nucleotides. NCBI's taxonomy places the organism in Eukaryota, Metazoa, Mollusca, Cephalopoda, Sepiida, Sepiidae. The record is from the annotation of a GenBank genome assembly.